RNAcentral lists this ribosomal RNA (200 nucleotides) under uncultured organism. Its description in RNAcentral is "partial small subunit ribosomal RNA". It matches the Rfam family "Archaeal small subunit ribosomal RNA", at positions 1139 to 1338 of the family's 1478-position model. The record is from RNAcentral.
CGGUAGGUCCGUAUGCCCCGAAUCCCCUGGGCAACACGCGGGCUACAAUGGCCUGGACAAUGGGUUCCGACACCGAAAGGUGGAGGUAAUCCCCUAAACCAGGUCGUAGUUCGGAUCGAGGGCUGUAACCCGCCCUCGUGAAGCUGGAAUGCGUAGUAAUCGCGUGUCACUAUCGCGCGGUGAAUACGUCCCUGCUCCUU